Molecule: ribosomal RNA, 253 nt
Filed under: uncultured bacterium
Lineage: Bacteria
Description: partial 16S ribosomal RNA
Rfam family: Bacterial small subunit ribosomal RNA
Source: RNAcentral
UACGAAGGGGGCUAGCGUUGUUCGGAAUUACUGGGCGUAAAGGGUUUGUAGGCGGUUAUACAAGUCAGUGGUGAAAGCCCAGGGCUCAACCCUGGAAUUGCCAUUGAAACUGUAUAGCUAGAGAGUGUUAGAGGAAAGUGGAAUGGCUAGUGUAGGAGUGAAAUCCGUAGAGAUUAGUCGGAAUAUCGAUGGCGAAGGCAGCUUUCUGGGACAUUUCUGACGCUGAGAAACGAAAGCGUGGGUAGCAAACAGG